GAUGAAGAACGUAGCGAAAUGCGAUAAGUAAUGUGAAUUGCAGAAUUCAGUGAAUCAUCGAAUCUUUGAACGCACAUUGCGCCCGCUAGUAUUCUGGCGGGCAUGCCUGUUCGAGCGUCAUUUCAACCAUCAAGCCCCAGGCUUGUGUUGGGGACCUGCGGCUGCCGCAGGCCCUGAAAACCAGUGGCGGGCUCGCUAGUCACACCGAGCGUAGUAGCAUACACAUCGCUCAGGGCGUGCUGCGGGUUCCGGCCGUUAAACCCCUUUUUUACCCAAGGUUGACCUCGGAUCAGGUAGGAAGACCCGCUGAACUUAAGCAUAUCAAUAAGCGGAGGA
RNAcentral lists this unclassified non-coding RNA (336 nucleotides) under soil metagenome. Its description in RNAcentral is "partial contains 5.8S ribosomal RNA, internal transcribed spacer 2, and large subunit ribosomal RNA". The stretch from base 1 to 120 matches the Rfam family "5.8S ribosomal RNA", at positions 35 to 154 of the family's 154-position model. The record is from RNAcentral.